RNAcentral lists this transfer RNA (87 nucleotides) under Felis catus (domestic cat). It matches the Rfam family "tRNA". From Rfam's summary of the family: Transfer RNA (tRNA) molecules are approximately 80 nucleotides in length. Their secondary structure includes four short double-helical elements and three loops (D, anti-codon, and T loops). RNAcentral also lists the same sequence under 1 other name. The record is from Rfam by way of RNAcentral. Lineage: Eukaryota; Metazoa; Chordata; Mammalia; Carnivora; Felidae.
ACCUGGGUGGCUCAGUGGUUAAGCGUCUGACUUAGGCUCAGGUCAUGACCUCACAUGACCUUGUGGGUUCAAGCCCCGCAUCAGGCU